Molecule: ribosomal RNA, 620 nt
Filed under: Salmonella enterica subsp. enterica serovar Enteritidis
Lineage: Bacteria; Pseudomonadati; Pseudomonadota; Gammaproteobacteria; Enterobacterales; Enterobacteriaceae
Description: partial 23S ribosomal RNA
Rfam family: Bacterial large subunit ribosomal RNA
Source: RNAcentral
CCCUUUGGGUGUGACUGCGUACCUUUUGUAUAAUGGGUCAGCGACUUAUAUUCUGUAGCAAGGUUAACCGAAUAGGGGAGCCGGAGGGAAACCGAGUCUUAAUUGGGCGUUAAGUUGCAGGGUAUAGACCCGAAACCCGGUGAUCUAGCCAUGGGCAGGUUGAAGGGUGGGUAACACUAACUGGAGGACCGAACCGACUAAUGUUGAAAAAUUAGCGGAUGACCUGUGGCUGGGGGUGAAAGGCCAAUCAAACCGGGAGAUAGCUGGUUCUCCCCGAAAGCUAUUUAGGUAGCGCCUCGUGAAUUCAUCUCCGGGGGUAGAGCACUGUUUCGGCUAGGGGGCCAUCCCGGCUUACCAACCCGAUGCAAACUGCGAAUACCGGAGAAUGUUAUCACGGGAGACACACGGCGGGUGCUAACGUCCGUCGUGAAGAGGGAAACAACCCAGACCGCCAGCUAAGGUCCCAAAGUCAUGGUUAAGUGGGAAACGAUGUGGGAAGGCCCAGACAGCCAGGAUGUUGGCUUAGAAGCAGCCAUCAUUUAAAGAAAGCGUAAUAGCUCACUGGUCGAGUCGGCCUGCGCGGAAGAUGUAACGGGGCUAAACCAUGCACCGAAGCUGCG